GCGGUCAUAGCUCAACUGGAUAGAGUGCCAGACUACGAAUCUGGAGGUUGGGAGUUCGAUUCUUCCUGACCGCGCCA
RNAcentral lists this transfer RNA (77 nucleotides) under Tenericutes bacterium ADurb.Bin024. RNAcentral's name for it is "tRNA-Arg". It matches the Rfam family "tRNA". From Rfam's summary of the family: Transfer RNA (tRNA) molecules are approximately 80 nucleotides in length. Their secondary structure includes four short double-helical elements and three loops (D, anti-codon, and T loops). The record is from RNAcentral. Lineage: Bacteria; Bacillati; Mycoplasmatota. RNAcentral also lists the same sequence under 4 other names.